Acanthosepion pharaonis is the source of this 108-nucleotide non-coding RNA. Lineage: Eukaryota; Metazoa; Mollusca; Cephalopoda; Sepiida; Sepiidae. The record is from the annotation of a GenBank genome assembly.
GGCUAUAUGACGUUGAAACACUGGUUCUUGUAUGAUCACCAAAGUUAAACAAUGUCAAGCCUCAUCAGUACCAAGAUGGAUGACUGCUUGGGAAUACCAGGUGCUUCA